Molecule: non-coding RNA, 315 nt
Organism: Pimephales promelas (fathead minnow)
Lineage: Eukaryota; Metazoa; Chordata; Actinopteri; Cypriniformes; Leuciscidae
Source: RefSeq, a predicted model, not a curated record
UAGAGUGUUCAAAGCAGGCCGCCCGUCGCCGCUGAAUACCGCAGCUAGGAAUAAUGGAAUAGGACUCCGGUUCUCUUUUGUUGGUUUCUGGAACCCGGGGCCAUGAUUGAGAGGGACGGCCGGGGGCAUUCGUAUUGCGCCGCUAGAGGUGAAAUUCUUGGACCGGCGCAAGACGGACGAGAGCGAAAGCAUUUGCCAAGAAUGUUUUCAUUAAUCAAGAACGAAAGUCGGAGGUUCGAAGACAAUCAGAUACCGUCGUAGUUCCGACCGUAAACGAUGCCGACCCGCGAUCCGGCGGCGAAGAUCGGCAGAGCG